RNAcentral lists this ribosomal RNA (103 nucleotides) under uncultured bacterium. RNAcentral describes it as "partial 16S ribosomal RNA". The record is from RNAcentral.
ACCGUUCGGGUCGUAACUCCUUUCGAUCGAGACGAAUUGUUUUUCGGCUGAAUAAUCCGGAAAGUGACGGUACCGAGAGAAGAAGCCCCGGCUAACUCUGUGC